Molecule: ribosomal RNA, 514 nt
Filed under: Escherichia coli
Lineage: Bacteria; Pseudomonadati; Pseudomonadota; Gammaproteobacteria; Enterobacterales; Enterobacteriaceae
Description: partial 23S ribosomal RNA
Rfam family: Bacterial large subunit ribosomal RNA
Source: RNAcentral
CUAAGCGUACACGGUGGAUGCCCUGGCAGUCAGAGGCGAUGAAGGACGUGCUAAUCUGCGAUAAGCGUCGGUAAGGUGAUAUGAACCGUUAUAACCGGCGAUUUCCGAAUGGGGAAACCCAGUGUGUUUCGACACACUAUCAUUAACUGAAUCCAUAGGUUAAUGAGGCGAACCGGGGGAACUGAAACAUCUAAGUACCCCGAGGAAAAGAAAUCAACCGAGAUUCCCCCAGUAGCGGCGAGCGAACGGGGAGGAGCCCAGAGCCUGAAUCAGUGUGUGUGUUAGUGGAAGCGUCUGGAAAGGCGCGCGAUACAGGGUGACAGCCCCGUACACAAAAAUGCACAUACUGUGAGCUCGAUGAGUAGGGCGGGACACGUGGUAUCCUGUCUGAAUAUGGGGGGACCAUCCUCCAAGGCUAAAUACUCCUGACUGACCGAUAGUGAACCAGUACCGUGAGGGAAAGGCGAAAAGAACCCCGGCGAGGGGAGUGAAAAAGAACCUGAAACCGUGUACG